GACGAACGCUGGCGGCGUGCUUAACACAUGCAAGUCGAACGGUGAAGCGCCUUCCUUUUUGGUGGGUGUGGAUGAGUGGCGAACGGGUGAGUAACACGUGAGUAACCUGCCCCCUUCUUCUGGAUAACCGCAUGAAAGUGUGGCUAAUACGGGAUAUUCUGGGUCUGUCGCAUGAUGGGUCUGGGAAAGAUAUUGUUUCGGUGGGGGAUGGGCUCGCGGCCUAUCAGCUUGUUGGUGGGGUGAUGGCCUACCAAGGCGGUGACGGGUAGCCGGCCUGAGAGGGUGGACGGUCACACUGGGACUGAGACACGGCCCAGACUCCUACGGGAGGCAGCAGGGGGGAAUAUUGCACAAUGGGCGCAAGCCUGAUGCAGCGACGCCGCGUGAGGGAUGGAGGCCUUCGGGUUGUGAACCUCUUUCGCCAGUGAAGCAUGCCUGCCUCGUUUGUGGGUGGGUUGACGGUAGCUGGAUAAGAAGCGCCGGCUAACUACGUG
Molecule: ribosomal RNA, 494 nt
Filed under: uncultured bacterium
Lineage: Bacteria
Description: partial 16S ribosomal RNA
Rfam family: Bacterial small subunit ribosomal RNA
Source: RNAcentral